Molecule: ribosomal RNA, 119 nt
Filed under: Labrus bergylta (ballan wrasse)
Lineage: Eukaryota; Metazoa; Chordata; Actinopteri; Labriformes; Labridae
Source: RNAcentral
AUAUAUUGUAUUUUUGAUAAUAAAAAAUCUGAUCUCGUCCGAUCUCAGAAGCUAAGCAGGGUCGGGCCUGGUUAGUUCUUGGAUGGGAGACCGCCUGGGAAUACCAGGUGCUGUAAGCU